Molecule: ribosomal RNA, 464 nt
Filed under: uncultured bacterium
Lineage: Bacteria
Description: partial 16S ribosomal RNA
Rfam family: Bacterial small subunit ribosomal RNA
Source: RNAcentral
ACGAACGCUGGCGGCGUGCUUAACACAUGCAAGUCGCACGGAAAGGCCCUGCUUGCCGGGUACUCGAGUGGCGAACGGGUGAGUAACACGUGGGUGAUCUGCCCUGCACUUCGGGAUAAGCCUGGGAAACUGGGUCUAAUACCGGAUAGGAGCCAUUUUUAGUGUGAUGGUUGGAAAGUUUUUUCGGUGUAGGAUGAGCUCGCGGCCUAUCAGCUUGUUGGUGGGGUAAUGGCCUACCAAGGCGGCGACGGGUAGCCGGCCUGAGAGGGUGGACGGCCACAUUGGGACUGAGAUACGGCCCAGACUCCUACGGGAGGCAGCAGUGGGGAAUAUUGCACAAUGGGCGCAAGCCUGAUGCAGCGACGCCGCGUGGGGGAUGACGGCCUUCGGGUUGUAAACUCCUUUCGCUAGGGACGAAGCUUUUUGUGACGGUACCUAGAUAAGAAGCACCGGCUAACUACGUG